UCACAACCGAAACAGAAAAUCGGUCCGUCUCACUCACACUCACUCGCGAUUUUUGGAACACCGAUUUUUUGCAUACAUUUCAGUCAGUGCUGGGCGUGUCGCUCGGCAACACCGUGUCGGGUUCGGUGGUCCUGAUCGUGACGACCUUACCGGUACUGAUAACUGGGAUGCUGAUCUCUUCUUCUGGAAGAAAUCGUCGGAUCCGAGCAGGAAGGUGAAACCGGUAAUACUCAAAGGAUGUUAUAGCGUUUUCUUCUAGCACCUUCUACACCAACCUCAAGUUUUGCACCAAAUCCAACAACAGCAACAGCAACUUGAACUGAAGGGAACUCAUAUUGAGAAGCAAUGAAAUAGCAACAGUUAGUGCUAUCUUCAAUUUCAAUUUCAGGGAGUGUAAGUGGAGGUUGGAGUGUUCCAGCACCAAAAGCAUCUCUUGAGGCUUGGCAACGAUUUUUAUGAUGUUCUUAAAGGAAAAUAAGAAUGUUGCUGCUUUGACAACUAAAGCUAAGUAUCGAAAUGUUACAACUUUGCUUAGCCAUGAUUGCAUUGUUCAAAGGAGGCACCAAAAGACUGCUUUUGAAGAGAAAUCUGCUCUGGCUAAGCAUGAGGCUGAACUUUCAAUGUUAAAAAAAAAAGAAGAAAGCUCACUUGAAGAUGUUGAAUAGCUAAAAGGUCAAAAGCAAUUUUUUUUCCAGUUGGGAUUGUACAUGGUUCCUUUGAAAGAAGAUGUUAUCUUGGUAGUAACAUAUACAUAUUACAAAAUCACAAUCUAUGCCCCAAAAUUUCAAAGUUGGCCAUGAUUUUACACACAUACAAAUACGAAUAAUAUUUUUCUUAUAAUGACUUGGAUGACUUGAUAGCAAGCACCAUCUCCUUAGGCUUCUAUUUUAGUUUCUUAUUCAGGGAUAAGCAUUCGGUACGUAUUCAUGUGUAUUUCUAUUUGUCAAUUGUUUAUUAUGCAGUAUUGGAUACGUGUCUUAGUUGUUGAGAGUUUGAAGAGUGUUUAAGCCUAUGGUGUAAAUUAAUUGCUUGCUAUAUAUGUGUAUAUAAUAAUGUUAUAGGUGCUAUGUUGAACAUAUUAGUAAAAUAAGAAUAUUAUAAAGUAUAGUUAGAG
Molecule: long non-coding RNA, 1114 nt
Organism: Arachis stenosperma
Lineage: Eukaryota; Viridiplantae; Streptophyta; Magnoliopsida; Fabales; Fabaceae
Exons: 8
Source: RefSeq, a predicted model, not a curated record